This 72-nucleotide transfer RNA is filed under the name Mesocricetus auratus (golden hamster). It matches the Rfam family "tRNA". From Rfam's summary of the family: Transfer RNA (tRNA) molecules are approximately 80 nucleotides in length. Their secondary structure includes four short double-helical elements and three loops (D, anti-codon, and T loops). Lineage: Eukaryota; Metazoa; Chordata; Mammalia; Rodentia; Cricetidae. The record is from Rfam by way of RNAcentral.
GAGGAUGUAGCUCAGUGGUAAGGCACUUGCCUGGCAUGUAUGAAGCCCUGGGUUCGAUCCCCAGUACCAUAA